CCCUUAGAUGUUCUGGGCCGCACGCGCGCUACACUGAUUCAUGCAACAAGUUUUGUCCUUGGCUGAUAGGCCUGGGUAAUCUUUGAACGUGAAUCGUGAUGGGGAUAGAUGAUUGCAAUUAUUCAUCUUCAACGAGGAAUUCCUAGUAAACGCAAGUCAUCAGCUUGCAUUGAUUACGUCCCUGCCCUUUGUACACACCGCCCGUCGCACCUACCGAUUGAAUGGUCCGGUGAAAUCUUCGGAUCUGAGAGAUGUCUGAUUAAUUUCGGACGCCUUUUGGAAAAGUUGCUUAAACCAUAUCAUUUAGAGGAAGGUGAAGUCGUAACA
Molecule: ribosomal RNA, 327 nt
Filed under: uncultured eukaryote
Lineage: Eukaryota
Description: partial 18S ribosomal RNA
Rfam family: Eukaryotic small subunit ribosomal RNA
Source: RNAcentral